Dromaius novaehollandiae (emu) is the source of this 386-nucleotide long non-coding RNA. RefSeq lists it as uncharacterized. NCBI's taxonomy places the organism in Eukaryota, Metazoa, Chordata, Aves, Casuariiformes, Dromaiidae. The transcript has 2 exons. The record is from RefSeq and is a predicted model, not a curated record.
GUGGCGUCACCACGCCCACGUCACGCUCGGAGUGCGUGGCGUCACUUCCGGCGGCCUGGGUGGCGUUGGGCGCAGGGUGCGUGCACUGCCCCCAGUAACGGUGUGGUGACAGCUCUGCAUCAGCACGCAGAAAAACGCAAAUGCAAAAUAAGAUGGCGCAAGAAAACACGAGCUAGCACUAGCGAAUUCAGCCCAGGCCCUGGGAGAUGACAGCGAUGAUGAUGGUGAUGAUGAUACAGCAUCUUCCGCUGACGUCUGCCGUCGCUCACACCAGCCACCCUGUCUGGACAUUUUCAGUCACAUCAAAAGAACUUCAGGGUCUGACACCCACCCCACCCACCAAAUGUUUUCAGUUUAACAAUAUUAAAAACUAAUGGUAGACUACA